AUAAGCUCCCGAUAUGUACAACCAAUCACCACAAAUGAACCCCAAAGAUGAACCCUAAUAUGAACCCCGAGUAAUAACAACCAUCACAAAUGAACCCCAAUAUGAACCCCAAAUGAAUGACAACCGUCAUAAAUGAACCCCAAGAUAAACCCCAAUAUGAAUGACAACCGUCAUAAAUGAACCCCGAGAUGAACCCCAAAUAACAACAAUCGUCACAAAUGAACCCCGAGAUGAACCCCAAAUAACAGAAGAAACCCC
Molecule: long non-coding RNA, 258 nt
Filed under: Lathyrus oleraceus (garden pea)
Lineage: Eukaryota; Viridiplantae; Streptophyta; Magnoliopsida; Fabales; Fabaceae
Description: Pisum sativum (pea) long non-coding RNA (PSAT_LNC011918)
Source: RNAcentral